Molecule: ribosomal RNA, 421 nt
Filed under: uncultured bacterium
Lineage: Bacteria
Description: bacterial SSU rRNA
Rfam family: Bacterial small subunit ribosomal RNA
Source: RNAcentral
AACGCGAAGAACCUUACCAGGGCUUGACAUGCACCGGAAAGCGGCGGAAACGUCGUCUUCCCGCAAGGGACCGGUGUGCAGGUGUUGCAUGGCUGUCGUCAGCUCGUGUCGUGAGAUGUUGGGUUAAGUCCCGCAACGAGCGCAACCCACGUGGCAUGUUGUAUCUCUCAUGCCAGACUGCCGAGAGAAACUCGGAGGAAGGUGGGGAUGACGCCAAGUCAGCAUGGCCCUUACGCCCUGGGCUACACACACGCUACAAUGGCCGGUACAACGGGUUGCCAAACCGCGAGGUGGAGCUAAUCGGAGAAAGUCUGUCUCAGUUCGGAUAGCAGGCUGCAACUCGCCUGCUUGAAGUUGGAAUCGCUAGUAAUCGCGGAUCAGCACGCCGCGGUGAAUACGUUCCCGGGCCUUGUACACACCG